UACGAAGGGGGCUAGCGUUGCUCGGAAUCACUGGGCGUAAAGCGCACGUAGGCGGGUUUUUAAGUCAGGGGUGAAAUCCUGGAGCUCAACUCCAGAACUGCCUUUGAUACUGAGGAUCUCGAGUCCGGGAGAGGUGAGUGGAACUCCGAGUGUAGAGGUGAAAUUCGUAGAUAUUCGGAAGAACACCAGUGGCGAAGGCGACUUACUGGACACAUAUUGACGCUGAGGUGCGAAAGCGUGGGGAGCAAACAGG
This 253-nucleotide ribosomal RNA is filed under the name uncultured bacterium. RNAcentral describes it as "partial 16S ribosomal RNA". It matches the Rfam family "Bacterial small subunit ribosomal RNA", at positions 524 to 776 of the family's 1533-position model. The record is from RNAcentral.